Molecule: long non-coding RNA, 2960 nt
Filed under: Manihot esculenta (cassava)
Lineage: Eukaryota; Viridiplantae; Streptophyta; Magnoliopsida; Malpighiales; Euphorbiaceae
Description: long non-coding RNA (MESC_LNC012600)
Source: RNAcentral
AGAAGCUGAAACACCAAUGAUCAAAGGAUUUAGAUGAGAAUCCGACAAACGCCACAACGGAUAGUUGAUAAGUUAGCCAAGAUUCUUGGUGCAAUUGAUGAAAGCAAAUCCUCACUCUCACUCAAAGCAAUACACGCCAAAGGCAUGAAAAGAAUUCUGAAAUAUUUGAUUAAAAGCUGCCCCUUACAAUUGUUUCUUAUCCUUAUAUAGUAAGGAGAAAAACAAAUAAAACCCUAAGACACUCUUCUUGGACCUGACUUAAACACAUAAGGCCCAAACCCAAUCACACACUAAAAUAACACAUAAGUAUUAAAAUAUAAGCCCAAAACAUGGCCCAACACUCUCAAACUUAAAAGAUAAAGUAUGGCUAGAAUACAAGCCCAAACAAAACUAAAAUAAAACAAGUGUUAAAUAAUAAAAAUAUAGCAAGCCCAUCAUAACAAAGCUGAAUCUUCACAAAAGCCUUACUUGAUCUUCACUCUAGGCUUCCCUUUGUGUAGUUUUAGCCCAUAGGUUUGGUUAGGCUCCCUAAGCCUAUGAUUGCAAGUGUUGCACCAAAUCUGUCCCAUAUGAGUUGAAGCACGCCCCAAAUAUAUAUGGAUCAUAUGAAUAUGAUUUUGAACUCCUUUUAGAUCCAUUUGAAUGACAUAAGUUUGCUCCACACCAUUGUUAGAAAUUUGCCCUAUUGGAUCAGUAUCAGGGCACUUUCGGCGGCAGGUUCGGCGGCCGAAAGUCCCUCCAGAGUCGAAACUCAGGCACCUUCGGCGGCCGAAAGUCGCUUCCAGAUCCGAAACUCAUGCACUUUCGGCGGCAGGUUCGGCGGCCGAAACUCACCUCUAGAGCCGAAAGUCCAACUUUCGGGGGCGAGUUUAGGCGGCCAAAACAUGCCACCACAGGCAGGUUCGGCGGCCAAACAUGGCUUCGGUUGCAGAACCUGAGUUCUUCCAGAAUGGGAGAACUCAAGCCUCACAUGCACAUUUGCCUCCCAAACCUUCCAAACUCACACACAACACUCCCAAGCAUGCAUAAACAUGCAAAAACACAGUCUCAAGCAUUUAGGGGCAUAAAACUAGCCUAAACCCCAGCAAACAUCACAUUAAACAUGCAUUUACCAUAAAGGGUAGAUAAACCCUAACACUUUAAACAUACUCUAAACAUGCAUCAUCUACCCUUAAAACCCCUCAAAACUUACUUAAAACAUAAGAGAGGGUGAGGAUCUACUCUUACCUCUUGAAGAUCGAGAGAAGAGGCGAUCCAAACUUGGAGAUGUAGAGAAAAAACCUCCUGAGGUCUCCAAACUUCUAAAACCUCGAUCUUAGCUUUAAAAUCUUCAAAACACGGUAAAAACCUAUAAAAACUCUGGGAGAUUUGAAGGAAAACAUAACAUCAACCAUGACUUGUCUCCUUUUGACCAUGUUCCAGAUUUGAGGACAAAUCUUUUCGAGGAAGGAGGGAAUGAUACGAACCAGCAAGCACAAUCACAUAAGAAUCAAGAAAGCAAGGAUCCAUUGGUGCUCCCUAGUGGACUAGUGAUAAGGAGCAAAGCUAAGAAGCUUGAAGCAGCUAUGAACUUAAACAUUCAAGAACAAGUAACGAAAGAAUUGACUGAGCUUGCCUUUGGCAAAUGUCUCGUGAAGCUUGAAGACACACCUAAGCUACUCACCUUGCUUAAGGUGUGUAAUGGAGAUAGCGCUGUCUAAUUUAUUCAGCUUUGUUAUGAUGGGCUUGCUAUAUUUUUAUUAUUUAACACUUAUUUUAUUUUAGCUUUGUUUGGGCUUGUAUUCUGGCCAUACUUUAUCUUUUCAGUUUUAGAGUGUUGGGCCAUGUUUUGGGCUGAUGUUUUAAUGGUUAUGUGUUAUUUUUGUGUGUGAUUGGGCUUGGGCCUUAUAUGUUUAAGUCAGGUCCAAGAAGAGUGUCUUAGGGUUUUAUUUGUUUUUCUCCUUAUUAUAUAAGGAUAAGAAACAAUUAUAAGAGGCAGCUUUUAAUCAAAAUUUUAGAAUUCUUCUCAUGCCUUUGGCAUGUAUUGCUUUGAGUGAGAGUGAGGAUUUGCUUUCAUCAAUUGCACCAGGAAUCUUGGCUUACUUAUCAACUAUUCGUUGUGGUGUUUGUCAGAUUCUCAUCUAAAUCCAUCGAUCAUUGGUGUUUCAGAUUCUCCUCCGUGCUUAGCUAACUUAUCAAGAAUUUCUUGUGGCGUUCUCGAAGCUGGAAUCACUUUAUUAUCUAUGUUUCUAAUCACAAUUGUUGGUUAGGGGUAUAGUAGAGCAACCUUCUGGAGGAACCCUAUGGCACAAGCCUCAAACCCACACGCACAAGUAGAUAUGGAAUCCAAAGAUUUGAUAAACCCACCUCCUAUGGCACCCCAAACUUAGAGAAGCUAAAAAACCAAUGAUCAAAGGAUUUAGAUGAGAAUCUGACAAACACCACAAUGAAUAGUUGAUAAAUUAGCUAAGAUUCCUGGUGCAAUUGAUGAAAGCAAAUCCUCACUCUCGCUCAAAGCAAUACACGCCAAAGGCAUGAAAAAAAUUCUGAAAUUUUGAUUAAAAGCUGCCUCUUACAAUUGUUUCUUAUCCUUAUAUAGUAAGGAGAAAAACAAAUAAAACCCUAAGACACUCUUCUUGGACCUGACUUAAACACAUAAGGCCCAAGCCCAAUGACACACUAAAAUAACAUAUAAGUAUUAAAACAUAAGCCCAAAACAUGGCCCAACACUCUAAAACUUAAAAGAUAAAGUAUGGCCAGAAUACAAGCCCAAACAAAGCUAAAAUAAAACAAGUGUUAAAUAAUAAAAAUAUAGCAAGCCCAUCAUAACAAAGCUGAAUCUUCACAAAAGUCUUACUUGAUCCUCACUUUAGGCUUCCCUUUGUGUAGUUUUAGCCCAUAGGUUUGAUUAGGCUCCCUAAGCCUAUGAUUGCAAGUGUUGCACCAAAUCUGUCCCAUAUGAGUUGAAGCACGCCCCAAAU